RNAcentral lists this unclassified non-coding RNA (329 nucleotides) under soil metagenome. RNAcentral's name for it is "partial contains 5.8S ribosomal RNA, internal transcribed spacer 2, and large subunit ribosomal RNA". The stretch from base 3 to 120 matches the Rfam family "5.8S ribosomal RNA", at positions 37 to 154 of the family's 154-position model. The record is from RNAcentral.
GGUGAAGAACGUAGCGAAAUGCGAUAAGUAAUGUGAAUUGCAGAAUUCAGUGAAUCAUCGAAUCUUUGAACGCACAUUGCGCCCUCUGGUAUUCCGGGGGGCAUGCCUGUUCGAGCGUCAUUAUAACCACUCAAGCUCUCGCUUGGUAUUGGGGUUCGCGGUUUCGCGGCCCCUAAAAUCAGUGGCGGUGCCUGUCGGCUCUACGCGUAGUAAUACUUCUCGCGAUUGAGUCCGAUAGGUCUACUUGCCAGUAACCCCCAAUUUUUACAGGUUGACCUCGGAUCAGGUAGGGAUACCCGCUGAACUUAAGCAUAUCAAUAAGCGGAGGA